AUAUUCCAGUACUUAUAACAAAUGCGAUGCGGGGACGCAGGAGCGGAAGCAUUGCGCACUGACGGAAUAGUGCGUUGAAGACCAAAGAUAAACGUUUGUAGGUAAGUCCGCAAGUGUGUUGAAGGUUGAAAGUACCACAAGUCCUCCGGGAGGCGUGGAUAAUGUGUGAAAGCAAGCUGCCAAGAAAAGCCGCUAAGCUUCAGUUUGUUAUAACCCGUACCGCAAUCCGACACAGGUGACCGGGAAGAAUAUUCUAAGGCGCUUGAGUGAAUCACGGUUAAGGAACACGGCAAAUUGAUCCUGUAACUUAGGGAGAAGGGAUGCCCCGAGAGGGGCCGCAGAGAAUAGGUCCAGGCGACUGUUUAACAAAAACACAGGGCUCUGCUAAGUCGUAAGACGAAGAAUAGGGUCUGACACCUGCCCGGUGCUGGAAGGUUAAGGGGGGAUGUUAGGGCAACCAAAGCAUUGAACCGAAGCCCCAGUAAACGGCGGCCGUAACUAUAACGGUCCUAAGGUAGCGAAAUUCCUUGUCGGGUAAGUUCCGACCUGCACGAAUGGUGUAACGAUCUAGACACUGUCUCAACCGUGAGCUCAGUGAAAUUGUAGUACCGGUGAAGAUGCCGGUUACCCGCUACGGGACGAAAAGACCCCGUGAACCUUCACUAUAGUUUGACACUGGUGGUGGCUUCAGAAUGUGUAGGAUAGGUGGGAGGCUAAGAUCCGUUGUCGCUAGGUAACGGGGAGCCAACGUUGAAAUACCACUCUUUCUGCAGCUGCCAUCUAACUUGAACAAAGGACACUGUCUGGUGGGUAGUUUGACUGGGGUGGUCGCCUCCAAAAAAGUAACGGAGGCUUCCAAAGGUACCCUCAGCACGCUUGGCAACCGUGCGUAGAGUGCAAUGGCAUAAGGGUGCUUGACUGUGAGACAAACAAGUCGAUCAGGUGGGAAACCAGGGCAUAGUGAUCCGGUGGUUCCGUAUGGAAGGGCCAUCGCUCAAAGGAUAAAAGGUACUCCGGGGAUAACAGGCUGAUCACUCCCAAGAGCUCAUAUCGACGGAGUGGUUUGGCACCUCGAUGUCGGCUCGUCACAUCCUGGGGCUGGAGAAGGUCCCAAGGGUUCGGCUGUUCGCCGAUUAAAGUGGCACGCGAGCUGGGUUCAGAACGUCGCGAGACAGUUCGGUCUCUAUCUGUAGUGGGCGUAAGAUAAUUGAGUGGACCUGACUUUAGUACGAGAGGACCGAGUUGGACGUACCGCUGGUGUACCAGUUGUUGUGCCAACAGCACCGCUGGGUAGCUAUGUACGGCAGGGAUAAGCGCUGAAGGCAUCUAAGCACGAAGCCCACCACAAGAUGAAUUAUCUCCUAAGGGUCGUAGUAGACUACUACGUCGAUAGGCGGAAAGUGUAAAGUUAGUAAUAACAAAGCUGAUCCGUACUAAUUACCCGUAUGAAGUCUUAUG
This 1458-nucleotide ribosomal RNA is filed under the name metagenome. RNAcentral's name for it is "bacterial LSU rRNA". It matches the Rfam family "Bacterial large subunit ribosomal RNA", at positions 1433 to 2925 of the family's 2925-position model. The record is from RNAcentral.